GAGUUUGAUCGUGGCUCAGAUUGAACGCUGGCGGCAGGCCUAACACAUGCAAGUCGAGCGGAUGACGGGAGCCUGCUCCUUGAUUCAGCGGCGGACGGGUGAGUAAUGCCUAGGAAUCUGCCUGGUAGUGGGGGACAACGUUUCGAAAGGAACGCUAAUACCGCAUACGUCCUACGGGAGAAAGCAGGGGACCUUCGGGCCUUGCGCUAUCAGAUGAGCCUAGGUCGGAUUAGCUAGUUGGUGGGGUAAUGGCUCACCAAGGCGACGAUCCGUAACUGGUCUGAGAGGAUGAUCAGUCACACUGGAACUGAGACACGGUCCAGACUCCUACGGGAGGCAGCAGUGGGGAAUAUUGGACAAUGGGCGAAAGCCUGAUCCAGCCAUGCCGCGUGUGUGAAGAAGGUCUUCGGAUUGUAAAGCACUUUAAGUUGGGAGGAAGGGCAGUAAGUUAAUACCUUGCUGUUUGACGUUACCGACAGAAUAAGCACCGGCUAACUCUGUG
Molecule: ribosomal RNA, 502 nt
Filed under: bacterium enrichment culture clone ALO1_GLFRUDD03HG5VD
Lineage: Bacteria
Description: bacterial SSU rRNA
Rfam family: Bacterial small subunit ribosomal RNA
Source: RNAcentral